Non-coding RNA from Octopus bimaculoides (California two-spot octopus), 76 nucleotides. NCBI's taxonomy places the organism in Eukaryota, Metazoa, Mollusca, Cephalopoda, Octopoda, Octopodidae. The record is from Rfam.
GGUGGUUUAGCUUAAUGGUUCAGAGCAGCGCAACGCGUAAUCACGGAGGUAUGAGUUCGAGUCUCAUAUCCUGCCA